AGCACAGGUGCCUUUAAAGGAGCUUAAAGUCUGAGUGUAAGUGAACAGCCCUAUGCAAGAGAAUUUCAGGUUGCCUCUAGGGCUUUAGAUUGAGAUGUUAUCAUGGACUGAACUGUGUCCCUGCAAAAUUCAUACGUUGAAGCCCCAGCUCCCAGUGUGGCUGUAGUUGGAGAUAAGACUUUUUUAAGGAGGUAAUCAAGCUUAAAUGAAGUCAUAAAGGUGGAGCUCUAAUCCAACAGGGUCGAUGCCCUCAUAAGAAGAGGAAGAGACAUCAAGAGUGCACAUGCACAGAGAAAAGGCCAUGUGAAGUCACAAGAAGAUGGCUGUCUGCAGGCAAAGGGGAGAGGCCUCACCAGAGACUAAUCCUGCCAGCACCAUAAUCUUCAACUUCCAGUCUCCAGAACUUUAAGAAAAUAAAUUUAUGUUGUUUGAGCCCAUCAAUCUUGUACUUUGUUGUAGUAGCCUGAGCAGAGGAAUUCAUCUGGAUUGACUUCUUGUUGGUCUGGUGUUUAUUGUAUUCUGCCUGAAAUGGGUUGCAGACUUACCAAAUGUGACAGAUCUUGUACCAUGUACAUGUACACAGCUAAGUGUUCUUGAGAGGGCACUUUCUAAAAGACUUUAUACUCAGCUUAUUAGAGAGGAU
Molecule: long non-coding RNA, 643 nt
Filed under: Homo sapiens (human)
Lineage: Eukaryota; Metazoa; Chordata; Mammalia; Primates; Hominidae
Description: HSALNT0088252
Source: RNAcentral